AAAAUGUAGCUUAACUAAAGCAUCUGUCUUACACACAGAAGAUAUCAGUAUUUAACUGAUCAUUUUGA
RNAcentral lists this transfer RNA (68 nucleotides) under Hemicentetes semispinosus (lowland streaked tenrec). Its description in RNAcentral is "partial tRNA-Val". It matches the Rfam family "tRNA". From Rfam's summary of the family: Transfer RNA (tRNA) molecules are approximately 80 nucleotides in length. Their secondary structure includes four short double-helical elements and three loops (D, anti-codon, and T loops). Lineage: Eukaryota; Metazoa; Chordata; Mammalia; Afrosoricida; Tenrecidae. The record is from RNAcentral.